Molecule: long non-coding RNA, 31437 nt
Filed under: Hordeum vulgare
Lineage: Eukaryota; Viridiplantae; Streptophyta; Magnoliopsida; Poales; Poaceae
Description: long non-coding RNA (HVUL_LNC020883)
Source: RNAcentral
AGGGAACCAGCCCCUAGGUGGGCUGGUGCGCCCCCCACCCAGCCCAUGCGCAUCAGAGAAAGGGGGAAGGGGGAAACCCUAGGCGCAGUUGAGGCCCAAGGCCCACCUAGGGUGCGCCCCCCCUUUCCCUGCCCUGGCCGCCGCCCCCCUCCCAUCUGGUGGCUGCCGCACCACCUAGGUGGGGAACCCUAGGGGUGGCGCACCCCCUCCCCCUCCUCCUAUAAAUAUAGAGGGGUUUUGUCCAUUGGAGAACACACUUUGCCCUCUCUCUCGGCGCAGCCCUGCUCUUCUUCCNGCGCGGGAGACGUCACCGGGCUGCACGUGUGUUGAACGCGGAGGUGCCGUUGUUCGGCACUAGAUCGGAAUCGCUGCGAGUACGACUCCAUCAACCGUGUUCUAGCAACGCUUCCGCUUAGCGAUCUUCAAAGGUAUGAAGAUGCUCUUACCCCUCUUUCGUUGCUGGUCUCUCCAUAGGAAGAUCUGAAUAUGCGUAGGAAAAUUUUGAAUUUAUGCUACGUUACCCAACAGUGGCAUCCAACCAGGUUUUCUAUGCGUAGAUUCUAUGCACGAGUAGAACACAAAAGUUGUGGGCGAUGAUUUGUCAAUUUGCUUGCCGCUACUAGUCUUAUUCUUUUCCGGCGGUAUUGUGGUAUGAAGCGGCCCGGACCGACUUUACACGUACACUUACGUGAGACUGGUUCCACCGACAGACAUGCACAUCGUGCAUAAAGGUGGCUAGCGGGUGUCUCUCUCUCCUACUCUAGUCGGAUUGGAUUUGAUGAAAAGGGUCCUUAUGAAGGGUAAAUAGCUUUGGCAUAUAAUCGUUGUGGCUGUCACGUAGGUAAGAAGGCGUUCUUGCUAGAAACCCAAAUCAGCCACGUAAAACUUGCAACAACAAUUAGAGGACGUCUAACUUGUUUUUGCAGGGUUUGACAUGUGAUGUGAUAUGGCCAAAGUUGUGAUGUUGCAUGUAUAAUGUAUGAGAUGAUCAUGUUAUUGUAAUAGGUUUCACGACUUGCAUGUCGAUGAGUAUGACAACCGGCAGGAGCCAUAGGAGUUGUCUUAAUUUAUUGUAUGAGAUGCAACGCCAUGUGCUUACUACUUUUACUUCAUUGCUAACGGUUAGCUAUAGUAGUAGUGAUAGUAGUAGUUGGCGUGACGACUUCACGGAGACACGAUGAUGGAGAUCAUGAUGAUGGAGAUCAUGGUGUCACGCCGGUGACGAUGAUGAUCAUGCGAUGCCUGAAGAUGGAGAUCGAAAGAGCAAAGAUGAUAAUGGCCAUAUCAUGUCACUAUAUGAUUGCAUUGUGAUGUUUAUCAUGUUUUACAUCUUAUUGCUUAGAACGACGGUAGCAUAAUAAGAUGAUCCCUCUUGAAAUUUCGAGAACGUAUUCCCCUAAGUGUGCACCAUUGCGAAGGUUCGUUGUCUCGAAGCACCACGUGAUGAUCGGGUGUGAUAGAAUCUAAGGUUCGCAUACAACGGGUGUAAGCCAGAUUUACACAGGCGAAACACCUAGGUUGACUCGACGAGCUUAGCAUGUACAGACAUGACCUCGAAUACAAGAGACCGAAAGGUCGAACAUGAUUCGUAUGGUUGAAUACGAUCAGCAUGGAGUUGCUCACCAUGGUGACUAGUCCGUCUCACGUGAUGAUCGGACACGGGUUAGUCAACAUGGAUCAUGUAUCACUUAGAUGACUAGAGGGAUGUCGAUUUAAGUGGGAGUUCAUAUUUAAUUUGAUUAAAUGAACUUAAUUGUCAUGAACUUAGUCUAAAAGUUGUCUUUAUAAAUAUUGUAGAUGUCCAACGUCAACCUCAAUUUCAACGCAUUCCUAGAGAAAAACAAGCUGAAAGAUGAUGGUAGCAACUAUGCGGACUGGGUUNNNNNNNNNNNNNNNNNNNNNNNNNNNNNNNNNNNNNNNNNNNNNNNNNNNNNNNNNNNNNNNNNNNNNNNNNNNNNNNNNNNNNNNNNNNNNNNNNNNNCGAGACACCUCUCUGGCCAAUAACCAUCAGCGGGGUCUGGAUACCCAUGGUGGCUCCCACUUGCUCCACGAUGAUCUCAUCGGAUGAACCACGAUGUCAAGGAUUCAAUCAAUCCCGUAUACGAUUCCCUUUGUCUGUCGGUAUAGAACUUGCCCGAGAUUCGAUCGUCGGUAUACCUAUACCUUGUUCAAUCUCGUUACCAGUAAGUCUCUUUACUCGUUCCGUAGCACGUCAUCGUGUGACUAACUCCUUAGUCACAUUGAGCUCAUGAUGAUGUUCUACCGAGUGGGCCCAGAGAUACCUCUCCGUCACACGGAGUGACAAAUCCCGAUCUCGAUUCGUACCAACCCAAUAGAUACUUUCGGAGGUACCCGUAGUGCACCUUUAUAGUCACCCAGUUACGUUGUGACGUUUGAUACACUUAAAGCACUCCUACGGUAUCCGAGAGUUGCACAAUCUCAUGGUCGAAGGAAAAGAUACUUGACAUUAGAAAAUCAUUAGCAUACGAACAAUACGAUCUAGUGCUAGGCUUAGGAUUGGGUCUUGUCCAUCACAUCAUUCUCCCAAUGAUGUGAUCCCAUUAUCAAUGACAUCUAAUGCCCAUGAUCAGGAAACCAUGAUCAUCUAUUGAAUAACGAGCUAGCCAACUAGAGGCUUGCUAGGGACACAUUGUGAUCUAUUUAUUCACACAUGUAUUACUGUUUCCUGUUAAUACAAUUAUAGCAUGAACAAUAGACGAUUAUCAUGAACGAGGAAAUAUGAUAAUAACCAUUUUAUUAUUGCCUCUAGGGCAUAUUUCCAACACCUAUUGCAUAUGGUGGGUGGGUCUAUGCAGUCUCUUCGUCAGUUGUCCCCUCCACCACUCCUUUCUUCUUCCUCAUCUCUCCGCCGCCAUAACUCAUUUUCUUCUCCAUCAUCUCCGACGUUCCCUCUCUUUCCUGCUGCAGCACCUUUGGCAUACGCACUUGGCAAGUGUGCCGCGACGAGACCCCUCUCCAGCAGACGCCCAGCUCUAGGAACUCGAACUGCGUGUUGUAGGUGCUGCAAGCAUAGGUUGCCGAGUUGGAACGCUAGCCACCCCGUGUCGCGAACUGGUUACACCGGUGAGCUGAAAAUGGCGCACGCGACCUGCCGUGCUACAACCAUUGAUACAAUAUGUUGGAACCCGCCGACAGAGGAGCUGCAACCGGCCAAGCCAAGAGCUGGAACCGACGCAUGUUGUGCUGGGCAUCGCCACACGUGCCAUGUUAGAACCAUGUUCUGGCGAUGCUAGAACCGUGUUCCAGAGAUGUUGGAACCAUGUUCUAGCAAUGUUGGAACCGUGUUUUAGCAAUGCUGGAAUGGGGGUCGGUGAUGCUUAAAAGCUUUAGGACAGCGGGCAAAAUGCUGGAACCAUUACCGACAAAAGUUGCAAUAGUCGUCAGAUUUUGCUACCACCGGCAAAGGAUUCUGCUACAUGCUUCAUGGCAGAGCUGCAACCCUGCGACGGCGAUGACUUUUUUUCCACAGUCGUAGUUAUUUUUCGCUACCACUGGUGAUGUAUUUUGCCACAUCCAUUAAAUGUCGUUUAGUAUUGGCCGUCCAUAAUCCCGUGCAACUAGUGCCGACGCCGAGUGCGACCGCGGUUGUGCAUCGUGGUGUUGCAUAAUGAUGCAUCAACGGCUGGAGUUGCAGCCAGUUAGGGCGGAGUUGCAAGCGAAAUUGAUGAGCGGGGAAGUUCUUCGACAAGCAGCGGAGGGCUGCGAGUCGUCGGAGUGUGAGCGCCGACGACCGACGUCUGUUUGCCCUCGCGGAGCUGCACACGGAGGCGUAGGAGCGUGGGGUAGGGUGUGGGGAUUUUUUUCUUUGAUAUGCGAUGGGAGAUAGAGGACGAGUCAAGGAUGAAGGAGAGAGCUAGAUCGGAUGACUGAUCUAUGCCAGAUCGAACGGUUGGGGUUCGAGUGGCCGAAACUUUCAGCUAGUACUGCCCUUUCUCUAUCUAUUCUAACACACCAUGAAGCUUGGUGGAGAGUUCAUCCACUACCUCUAUAAAAGCACGAAGAGGCAGAUCCAACUCACCAUCUCACCUGCCUGAUUACGUCAUCAAUCGUCAAGAAUUAUCAUUAAAAAAUUCAUCCCAGCUAACGAAACCAAUUGAAGCCAAUCCCAUCGGCGAGGAAACCCACCCACACUUCCACGCCCGGGAACCGCUCACAAAAUCACCUCGCUUGAGAACUCAUCCAGGCCUAGCUCNNNNNNNNNNNNNNNNNNNNNNNNNNNNNNNNNNNNNNNNNNNNNNNNNNNNNNNNNNAGCCGCCGUCGCUGCCUCGCGCAACAACCACAACCAUUGCCCUCGCCUCACAUAGCGACGCGUCGCCCGUCGCUCGGCCAACCCGGACAAGCAGGACAAGGGCGCAGGGCAAGGAAAGGACAUGGGCGAUCGCAAUGAACCCUCCUUUCAUGGUAUUUAUCAUUUUUAUGCGAUGAACGCAACCUGUAGGUGCCUCCGUUCAUGAUUUGCAUAUCCAGAAUUUGUUGUCUGGCCAUCUAAGAGAAUUAGCUCACUACGCUAAGGAAUUAGGACAAUUCAGUUACAUGAUCUGACUGUUUAUAGAGGGAUCUAAAAGACUGAUGAUAUGCAAAUAUGAUCUCAAGUCUCAAAGUGCAUGUUGUUCUAUGUUCUUGGGCAUGUACAAAGGCUUAGAUAAACACCACCAAGGUUGAGGACGAAAAAGAUUGCACACACUAACCAUUAUUAUCUUCUUGUGAUAAUUUUAGGCUUGUACGAGGAAACUUGAAGAGGCAAUUUUAGUUGGUGGUGUGCUUUAAUAUUUCAUAUUGUUGUUCGUGUGUUCCUGUUGGAAAUAUGCCCUAGAGGCAAUAAUAAAGUGGUUAUUAUUAUAUUUCCUUGUUCAUGAUAAUUUUCUAUUGUUCAUGCUACAAUUGUAUUAACUGGAAACAGUAAUACAUGUGUGAAUAUAUAGACCACACCAAGUCCCUAGUGAGCCUCUAGUUGACUAGCUCGUUGAUCAAAGAUGGUUAAUGUUUCCUAACCAUAGACAAGUGUUCUCACUUGAGUUCUAGAAUGGUCUGGAAACGAAGAUUGAUAUAUAGGAAGUUGGUAGUUCGUAGUAUCAUUUCCCUAGACCAUGAGAUUGUGCAACUCCCGGAUACCGUAGGAGUGCUUUGGGUGUAUCAAGAAUCACAACGUAACUGGGUGAUUAUAAUGGUGCACUACAGGUAUCUCUGGAAGUGUAUGUUGGGUGGGCACGAAUCGAGAUUGGGAUUUGUCACUCCGUAUGAAGGAGAGGUAUCUCUGGGCCCACUGAGUAAUACAUCAUCCUAUUGAGCUCAGUGUGACUAAGGAGUUAGUCACAGGAUCAUGUGUUACGGAACGAGUAAAAAAACUUGCCUCUAACGAUAUUGAACAAGGUAUGGGGAUACCGACGAUCGGAUUUCGGGCAAGUUAUAUACCGAUAGACAAAGGGAAUUGCAUACGGGAUUGAUUGAAUCCCCGACAUCGUGGUUCAUCCGAUGAGAUCAUCGUGGAACAUGUGGGAGCCAACAUGGAUAUCCAGAUCCCGCUAUUGGUUAUUGACCGGGGAGGUGUCUCGGUCAUGUCUGCAUGGUUCCCGAACUCGUAGGGUCUACACACUUAAGGUUCGAUGACGCUAGAGUUGUAAUGAGAAUAAUAUGUGGUUAUCAAAAGUUGUUCGGAGCCCCGGAUGAGAUCCCAGACGUCCCGAGGAGCUCCGGAAUGGUCAGUAGGUAAAGAUUCAUAUAUAGGAAGUGGAGAUUAGAUCACAGGAAAUGUUUCGAGGAUCAUCGGUAUUGUACCGGGACUACCGGAAGGGUUACGGGGGUUCACCAGCCCCGGAGAGCCACGUGGGCCAAAAGUGGAAGGAAACCAACCCCUAGAUGGGCUGGUGCGUCACCCACCAAGGCCCAAGGAACCUAGGGCUAGCAACCCUAGGGCGUGGAGGUGGCCCACCUCCAACUUGGGAGGCAAGCCACCUCCCACCUGGCCACCGCCCCCUGCUUGGACCGCCGCCCCUCCUAGGGUUACCUAGGGUGGCCGGCCUGCCUUUCCCCUCCCCUAUAUAUACCCAAGGGUUUUGGGGCUGCAACACACAACUUUUCUCUCCCUCUUGGUGCAACCCUACCCUCUCUCUUUCUCCUCCUCCGCGGUGCUUGGCGAAGCCGUGCCGGAGAACCACAUAGCUACACCGCCACCACGCCGACGUGCUGUCGAAGCUCUCCAUCAACUUCCCCUCUCCCCUUGCUGGUUCAAGGUAGAGGAGACAUCAUCGGUUUGCACGUGUGUUGAACGCGGAGGCGUCGUUGUUCGGCGCUUUGGAUCACAUCUACCGCGAUUUGAAUCGCUAUGAGUACGACUCCAUCACCCGCAUUCCUAGUAACGCUUCCGCUUAGCAAUCUUCAAAGGUAUGAAGAUGCUCUACCCCUUGCUCGUUGCUAGCAUCUCCUAGAUUGAUCUUGCUGUUUCGUUGCUAGCAUCUCCUAGAUUGAUCUUGCCGCGCCCGAAGAUGGAGAUCAAAGGCGCAAGAUGAUAAUGGCCAUAUCAUGUCACUAUAUGAUUUGCAUGUGAUGUUUAUCAUGUUGUUCAUCUUAUUGCUUAGAAUGACGGUAGCAAAGAUAAGAUGAUCCCUCGUUAAAUUUCAAGAUAAGUAUUCCCCUAAGUGUGCACCGUUGUGAAGGAUCGUUGUCUUGAAGCACCAUGUGAUGGUCGGGUGUGAUAGAUUCUAACGUUCGCAUACAAUGGGUGUAAGCCAGAUUUACACACACAAAACACUUAGGUUGACUUGACGAGCCUAGCAUGUACAGGAAUGGCCUCAGAAUACGAGAGACCAAAAGGUCGAACAUGAGUCGUAUGGAUGAUACGAUCAACAUGGAGAUGUUCACCAUUGAUGACUAGUCUGUCUCACGUGAUGAUCGGACACGGGCUAGUCGACAUGGAUCAUGUAUCACUUAGAUGACUAGAGGGAUGUCAAUCUAAGUGCGAGUUCAUUAAAUAAUUUGAUUAGAUGAACUUAAUUAUCAUGAACUUAGUCUAACAAUGUCUUUACAGUAUUGUAGAUCCAAUGGCCAAUGCUCCUGUCAACCUCAAUUUCAACACGUUCCUAGAGAAAACCAAGCUGAAAGACGAUGGUAGAAACUAUGUGGACUGAGCUCGUAACUUAAAGCUCAUCCUCAUUGCUUCCAAGAAGGCAUAUGUCCUUGAUGCGUCGCUAGGUGACCCUCCCGUUCCCACGGCAGCCCAGGACGUUCAUAACGCGUGGCAGUCACGAAGUGAUGACUACUCUCUGGUUCAUUGUGGCAUGCUAUACAGUUUAGAACCGGGGCUCAAAAAACGUUUUGAGCAACCUGGAGCAUAUGACAUGUUCGAGGAGCUGAAAUUGGUUUUCCAAGAUCAUGCCCAGAUCAAGAGAUAUGAGGUCUCCGACUAGUUCCUCAGCUGUAAGAUGGAGGAAAAUAGUUCUGUCAGUGAGCACAUACCCAGAAUGUGUGGGUUGCACAACCGUCUGUCUCAGCUGGAAGUUAAUCUUCCGGAUGACGCGGUUAUUGACAGAAUCCUCCAGUCGCUUCCACAUAGCUACAAGAGGUUCGUGAUGAAUUAUAACAUGCAAGGGAUGGAAAAGAACAUUCCCGAGUUAUAUUCAAUGCUGAGAUCAGCGGAGGUGGAAAUCAAGAAGGAACAUCAAGUGUUGAUGGUGAAUAAGACCACUAGUUUAAUAAAAGGCAAGGGUAAAAAGAACUUCAAGAAGGACGGCAAAGAAGUUGCCACGCCCGGUAAAAAGGUUUCCUGGAAGAAGCGCAAGAAUGUCGCAAGCCUGAGACUGAGUGUUGUCAUUGCAAGGGAGCCAGUCACUGGAAGCGAAACUACCCCAAAUACUUAGCGGAUAAGAAGGCCGGAAAUGUCAAAGGUAUAUAUGAUGUACAUGUUAUUGAUGUGUACCUUACCAGCACUCGUAGUAGCUCCUAGGUAUUUGAUACCGGUGUUGUUGCUCACAUUUGCAACUGAAAAACAGGAACUGCAGAAUAAGCAGAGACUGGCAAAGGGCAAUGUGACGAUGCUCGUGGGAAUGGUUCCAAGGUCGAUGUGAUCGUCGUCGGCACGCUACCUCUACAUCUACCUUCGGGAUUAGUUUUAAACCUUAAUAAUUGUUAUUUAGUACUAGCUUUGAGCAUGAACAUUGUAUCUGAAUCUCGUUUGAUGCGAGAUGGCUACUCAUUUAAAUCUUAGAAUAAUGGUUGUUCUAUUUAUAUGAGUGAUAUGUUUUAUGGUCAUGUCCAUCUGGUCAAAGUUUAUUCUUAAUGAAUCUCGAACGUGAUGUUAUGCAUAUUCAUAGUGUGAGUACUAAAAGAUGCAAAAUUAAUAAUGAUAGUCCCACAUACUUGUGGCAUUGCCUCCCUGGUCAUAUCGGCGUCAAACGCAUGAAGAAACUCCAUGCUGACGGACUUUUGGAGUCUCUUGAUAAUGAAUCAUUUGACACGUGCAAGCUGUGCCUCAUGGGUAAGAUGACUAAGACUCUGUUCUCCGGAACAAUGGAGCGAGCAACCAACUUGUUGGAAAUAAUACAUAGCGAUGUAUGCGAUCCAAUGAGCGUUGAGGCUUGCGGUGGCUACCGUUAUGUUCUCACCCUCACUAAUGACUUAAGCAGAUAUGGGUAUGUCUACGUAAUGAAACACAAGUCUGAAACCUUUGAAAGGUUCAAGGAAUUUCAGAGUGAGGUUGAAAAUCAACGUGACAAGAAAAUAAAGUGCCUACGAUCUGAUCAUGGAGGAGAAUAUUUGAGUCACGAGUUUGGCACACACUUAAGAAAAUGUGGAAUUGUUUCACAACUCAUGCUGCCUGGCACACCUCAGUGUAAUGGUGUGUCUGAGCGUCGUAAUCGCACUCUAUUGGAUAUGGUGUAAUCUAUGAUGUCUAUUACUGAUUUAUCGCUAUCAUUUUGGGGAUACGCAUUGGAAACUUCCGCAUUCACUUUAAAUAGGGCACCGUCUAAAUCCGUUGAGAUGACACUGUAUGAAUUAUGCUUUGGGAAGAAACCUAAGCUGUCGUUUCUGAAAGUUUGGGGCUAUGAUGCUUAUGUGAAGAAACUUCAACGUGAGAAGCUCAAACCCAAAGCGAAAAAUGCGUCUUCAUAGGAUACCCUAAGGAAACUAUUGCGUAUACCUUCUAUCUUAGAUUCGAAGGAAAAUCUUUGUUGCCAAGAACGGAUCCUUUCUAGAGAAAGAGUUUCUCUCAAAAGAAGUAAGUGGGAGGAAAAUAGAACUUGAUGAGGUAACUGAAAUCCCUCUUGAACUAGAAAGUAGCGCAGCGUGGGAAAUUGUUCCCGUGGUGCCUGCACCGACUAGAGAGGAAGUUAAUGACGAUGAUCAUGAAACUUCGGAUCAAGUUACUACUGAACCUCUAAGGUCCACAAGGAUAUGUUCCGCACCAGAGUGGUUCGACAACCCAGUCCUAGAAAUAAUGUUGUUAGACAACGGUGAACCUUCGAACUAUGAAGAAGCAAUGGUCGGCCCGGAUUCCAACAAAUGGCUUGAAGCCAUGAAAUUCGAGAUAGGAUCCAUGUAUGAGAACAAAGUAUGGACUUUUGUGGACUUGCCCAAUGAUCAGCAAUCCACAGAAAAUAAAUGGGUCUUUAAGAAGAAUACUGACGCAGAUGGUAAUGUGACCGUCUAUAAGGCUGAGCUUGUCGCUAAGGGUUACCGACAAGUUCAAGGAGUUGACUACGAUGAGACUUUCUCACCCAUAGCGAUGUUGAAGUUCGUCCGAAUCAUGUUAGCAAUUGCCGCAUUUUAUGAUUAUGAGAUCUAGCAAAUGGACGUCAAAACGACAUUCCUUAACAGUUUCCUUAAGGAAGAAUUGUAUAUGAUGCAUCCAGAAGGUUUUGUCGAUCCUAAGAGUGCUGACAAGGUAUGCGAGCUCCAACGCUCCAUCUAUGGGCUGGUGCAAGCAUCUCAAAGUUGGAACAUUCACUUUAAUGAGGUGAUUAAAUCGUUCGGGUUUAUGCAGACUUAUUGAAAAGCCUGCAUUUACAAGAAAGUGAGUGGGAGCUCUGUAGCAUUCCUCAUUUUAUAUGUGGACGACAUAUUGCCGAUGGAAAAUGAUAUAGAACUUUUGGAAAGCGUAAAAGCCUACUUGAAUAAGUAUUUUUCAAUGAAGGACCUUGGGGAAGCUGCUUACAUAUUAGGCAUCAAGAUCUAUAUAGAUAGAUCGAGAUGCCUCAUAGGUCUUUCACAAAACACAUACCUUGACAAGAUAUUGAAGAAGUUCAAUAUGGAUAAGUCUAAGAAGGUGUUAUUGCAUGUAUAGCAAGGUAUGAGAUUGAGUAAGACUCAAUGCCCGACCAAAGCACAAGAUAGAGAAAAGAUGAGUAACAUCCCCUAUGCUUCAGUCGUAGGCUCUAUUAUGUAUGCCAUAGUGUGUACCAGACCUGAUGUGAACCUUGCCAUGAGUUUGGUAGGGAGGUACCAAAGUGAUCCUGGUAUGGAACGCUGGACAACGGUCAAUAAUAUCCUAAAGUACCUGAAAAGGACUAAAGAUAUGUUUCUCGUUUAUGGAGGUGCCGAAGAGCUCGUCGUAAAGGGUUACGCCGAUGAUAGCUUCGACAGAGAUCCGGAUGACUCCAAGUCACAAAUCGGAUACGUGUAUGUUUUGAAUGGUGGGGUAGUCAGCUGGUGCACUUUUAAGCAAGGCGUCGUGGCGGCAUCUACAUGUGAAGCAGAGUACAUAGCUGCUGCAGAAGCAGCGCAUGAAGGGAUCUGGAUGAAGGACUUCAUCACUGACCUAGGAGUAAUUCCCAGUGCGUCGGGCCCGAUGACUCUCUUGUGUGAUAACACUGGAGCUAUUGUCAUAGCCAAGGAGCCCAAGCACAUCAAGCGCUGCUUCAACUCCAUCCGUGAUUACAUUCAGGAAGGAGAUAUAGAUAUUUGUAAAGUACAUGCAGAUCUGAAUGUUGUAGAUCUUUUGAGUAAACCUCUUCCGCGAGCGAAACAUGAUCAACACCAGAACUCUACGGGUGUUCGUUUCAUCACAAUGUAACUAGAUUAUUGACUCCAGUGCAAGUGGGGGACUGUUGGAAAUAUGCCCUAGAGGCAAUAAUAAAGUGGUUAUUAUUAUAUUUCCUUGUUCAUAAUAAUUGUCUAUUGUUCAUGCUACAAUUGUAUUAAGAGGAAACAGUAAUACAUGUGUGAAUAUAUAGACCACACCAAGUCCCUAGUGAGCCUCUAGUUGACUAGAUGGUGGAUCAAUAGAUGGUCAUGGUUUCCUGCUCAUGGACAUUGGAUGUCAUUGAUAAUGGGAUCACAUCAUUAGGAGAAUGAUGUGAUGGACAAGACACAAUCCUAAGCAUAGCACAAGAUCGUGUAGUUUGUCUCCUAAAGCUUUUCUAAUGUCAAUUAUCAUUUCCUUAGACCAUGAGAUUGUGCAACUCCCAGAUACCGUAGGAGUGCUUUGGGUGUAUCAAAAGUCACAACGUAACUGGGUGAUUAUAAAGGUGCACUACAGGUAUCUCCGAAAGUGUCUGUUGGGUGGGCACGAAUCGAGACUGGGAUUUGUGACUCCGUAUGACGGAGAGGUAUCUCUGGGAUCACUCGGUAAUACACCAUCCUGUUGAGCUCAAUGUGACUAAGGAGUUAGUCACACGAUCAUGUGUUACAGAACGAGUAAAAGACUUGCGAGUAACGAUAUUGAACAAGGUAUGAGGAUACCGACGAUAGGGUCUCGGGCAAGUUAUAUACCGAUAGACAAAGGGAAUUGCAUACGGGAUUGAUUGAAUCCCCGACAUCGUGGUUCAUCCGAUGAGAUCAUCGUGGAACAUGUGGGAGACAAUAUGGAUAUCCAGAUCCCCCUGUUGGUUAUUAACCGGAGAGGUGUCUCGGUCAUGUCUGCAUGGUUCCCGAACCCGUAGGGUCUACACACUUAAGGUUCGAUGACGCUAGAAUUGUAAUGAGAAUAGUAUGUGGUUACCGAAAGUUGUUCAGAGUCCCGGGUGAGAUCCCGGAUGUCACGAGGAGCUCCGGAAUGGUCCGGAGGUAAAGAUUCAUAUAUAGGAAGUGGAUAUUAGAUCACCGGAAAUGUUUCAAGGAUCAUCUGUAUUGUACUGGGACCACCAUAAGGGUUUCGAGGGUCCACCGGGAGGGGCCACCAGCCCCGGAGAGCCACGUAGGCCAAAAGUGGAAGGGAACCAGCCGCUAGAUGGGUUGGUGCGCCACCCACCAAGGCCCAAGGCGCCUAGGGCUGGUUACCCUAGGGCGUGGAGGUGGCCCACCUCCAACUUGGGAGGCAAGCCACCUCCCACCUGGCAACCGUCCCCUGCUUGGGCCACCGCCCCUCCCAUAUGGGUGGCCGCCGCCCCUCCUAGGGUUUCCUAGGGUGGCCGGCCUGCCCUUCCCCUCCUCCUAUAUAUAUCCAAUGGUUUUGGGGCUGCAACAUGCAAGUUUUCACUCCCUCUCGGCGCAGCCCUACCCUCUCUCUCCAUCCUCCUCCGCGGUGCUUGGCGAAGCCCUGUCGGAGAACCACAUAGCUCCACCGCCACCACACCGUCGUGCUGCCGGAGCUCUCCACCAACUUCCCCUCUCCGCUUUCUGGUUCAAGGUAGACGAGACGUCACCGGGAUGCACGUGUGUUGAACAUGGAGGCACCGUUUGUCGGCCCUUUGGAUCACAUCUACUGCGAUCUGAAUCGCUACGAGUACGACUCCAUCACCCGCGUUCAUAGUAACGCUUCCGCUUAGCAAUCUUCAAAAGUAUGAAGAUCAUCUACCCCUUGCUCGUUGCUAGCAUUUCCUAGAUUGAUCUUGGUGUUUCGUAGGAAUUUUUUUGAAUUUCUCCCUCGAGCCCCAACAGUUCCUCCAUCAUCGUGUCUUCUUCUAUUAGUUUGAAUUUUCUAGCGCAUGAACUACCAAGUGAAUUUUCCUAGCUCCGAUGGUUGCGCCACUGAGGAUGCUAUCAGCGAAAAUAAAGGCAAUUUGUACUGGGACGUCUUGGCCGAGCUGCAGGACCUCCGCCUCGACGAGCUGUAGAAUCUCCACCUCGCUCUGGUUUUUGUGGUACGGGCCCUUCCCCACUCCAUCAAAUAGUGACUUAUAUUUUGUUCUGCUUUGUUCUUAGACAAGUGUGGUAAAUUGUAUGGUAAAGUGUGGCAUCUACUACCCCUAUAAAGCACGAAGAGACAGAUCCAAAUCCUCAACUCAGCCAUUUGAUUACAUCAUCAAUGAUCAAAAAUCAUUGUUAACGAAAUUCAUCCCAUCGCUAACGAAGAUAAUCCCAUCGCUGAGGAAACCCACCCCCACUUCAAUGCUCAAGAACCGCUCGCAAACUCAGCCACGCCGCCCGACCUCCCCACCCCCGAUGGUCGCUCGCCUCGUCCAGCCACCGGCCCCGCUCGGCCCACUUGCCCCCACUCGUCGCUCGCCUCGCGCCGUCGCCCUUGUCUCACACAGCCUCGUGCAGUCGCCGCCCCCGCCUCGUGCAGCCACCGCCACCACCUUGCGCAGCCUCACGCCGUCCUCUCUGCUCACCCGGACAAGCGGGACAAGGGCACCGUUCAAGGAGAGGACAGGGGCGAUCGCGGUGAACCCUCCGUUCAUGGUACUGUAACGUCCAAGAUGUGGCACUAUCCAUAUUUGGGGAUUAGGUCUUAAUAUGGAUAGAGGCACAUCUUAGCGUUUCGCAAGUACAUAAAUCACCGCAAUACAUUUAUGAAGAGAAGAGUAUAUUGAUUAGCUUACACUCGCCACAAGUUAAGUUACAAGCCACACAACAUUAGUUCAAUCAUCCUAAGACCGGGUCCGGCUACAGACAAGAUAAAUGAUAAAAUGCAAUGACUCUGCCUCGUUAGUCUAGGAAACGAGCAAGGUCCUCUAAUCAUCGGGGUACAUUACGUACAAGCGCCCACUGCCUUCAUCGAAAUCCCAUUGAAGAUCGAUAACCCACAAGUAUAGGGGAUCGCAACAGUUUUCGAGGGUAGAGUAUUCAACCCAAAUUUAUUGAUUCAACUCAAGGGGAAGCGAAAGAAUAUUCUCAAGUAUUAGCAGUUGAGCUGUCAAUUCAACGACACCUAAAAGAUUUAGUAUCAGUAGCAAAGUAGGGUGAUAGCAGCAGUAGCAACAGUAACCAGUAGCAGCAAAGUAACAACAGUAGGAACAGAGUAACAACAGCAGCAGUCACAGCAGUAGCGGCAAAGUAACGUAGCAAGGACCAGUAGAAAAAGACUCGUAGGCAUUGGAUCAGUGAUGGAUGAUUAUGCCGGAUGUGAUUGAUCAUGCAACAGUUAUAACACGGAGAGAUAAGUAAAUAGCUCCAGUUCGUCAAUCUAAUGUAGGCAUGUAUUCCGCAUGUAGUCAUACGUGCUUAGGGAAAAUAACUUGCAUGACAUCUAUUGUCCAUCCCUCCCAUGGCAGCGGGGUCCUAAUGGAAACUACAGGAUAUUAAGGUUCUCCUUUGAAUAAAGAACCGGACCAAUGCAUUAACACUUGGUGAAUACAUGAACUCCUCAUACUAUGGUCAUCUCCGGGAGUGGUUCCGGCUAUUGUCACUCCGGGGUUGCAGGGUCAUAACACAUAGUAGGUGACUACAACUUGCAAGAUAGGAUCUAAAACACACAUAUAUUGGCGACAACAUAAUAGGUUCAGAUCUGAAAUCAUGGCACUCGAGCCCUAGUGACAAGCAUUAAGCAUGGCAAAGUAGUAGCAACAUCAAUCUCAGAACAUAGUGGAUACUAGGGAUCAAUUCCCGUCAAAACUAACUCGAUUACAUGAUAGAUCUCAUCCAACCCAUCACCGUCUAGAAAGCCUACGAAUAGAUUACUCACGAACGGUGAAGAGCAUCAUGGAAUUGGCGAUGAAGGAAGGUUGGUGAUGACGAUGGCGUCAAAGUUUGUUUUCUUGUGCUAAUGAUAUCACGAGUUUCUGUUUAAGUUUUGUGUUGUGAAGUUUUCAAGUUUUGGGUGAUGAUCUCAUGGACAAAGGGAUAAAGAGUGGAAAGAGCUCAAGCUUGGGGAUGCCCAAGGCAUCCCAAGCCAAAUUCAAGGACACCAAAAAGCCUAAGCUGGGGGAUGCCCCGGGAAGACAUCCCCUCUUUCGUCUCCAAUCCAUCGGUAAUAUUACUUGGAGCUAUAUUUUUAUUCACCACAUGAUAUGUGUUUUGCUUGGAGCGUCUUGUAUCAUAGGAGUCCUUUAUUUUUGUUGUGUCACAAUCAUCCUUGCUGCACACCUUUUGAGAGAGACAUGCACUCAUCGUGAAUUUUCUAGAAUACUCAUUGAGCUUCGCUUAUAUCUUUUGAGUUAGGCAAUUUAGCUCAUUGUGCUUCACUUAUAUCUUUUGAUCUAGAUAACUUUUCUCUUUGUGCUUCACUUAGAUCUUUUAGAGCACGGCGGUGUCAUAUUUUGGAGAAAUAAGAACUCUCGAUCUUCACUUAUAUCUUUUUGAGAGUGCUCUCUCUGAGUAACUUGGUAGUUGGCUUGUGUUAUGAAAGUAGUCCGAAAGAUGAUAGGCGCCCAAAGAGGAUACAAUAAAACUUCCAUAUUCAUGUGCAUUGAUUAGAAAGAGAAGUUUGAUUCCUCUCAAAUAGUUUUGAGACAUGGAUUUGGUAAUAUUAAGAGUUAUGCUAGUAGGGUGUUGUGAAUCUAGAAAUACUUGUGUUGAAGUUAGUGAUUCCCGUAACAUGCACGUAUGGUGGACCGCUAUGUUAGGAAGUCGGAGCAUAUUUGAUUUAUUGAUUGUCAUCCUUUGUGUUGCGGUCGGGAUUGCGCGAUGGUUAACACCUACCAACCCUUCCCCUAGGAGUAUGCGUUUAGCACUUUGUUUCGAUUACUAAUAAAAACUUUCGCAAUAAGUAUGUGAGUUCUUCAUGACUAAUGUGAGUCCAUGGUAUAGAUACACUUUCACCUUCCACCAUUGCUAGCCUCUCUAGUGCCGUGCAACUUUCGUCGGUACACAAAACCACAAUAUGCCUUCCUCAAAACAACCACCAUACCUACCUACUAUGGCAUUUUCAUAGCCAUUCCGAGAUAUAUUGCCAUGCAACUCCCACCGUUCGGUCUCAUGACUUGUGUCGUNNNNNNNNNNNNNNNNNNNNNNNNNNNNNNNNNNNNNNNNNNNNNNNNNNNNNNNNNNNNNNNNNNNNNNNNNNNNNNNNNNNNNNNNNNNNNNNNNNNNGUGAUCUCAUCCGGGACUCCGAACAACAUUCGGUAACCAACCAUAUAACUCAAAUACGCAUAAAACAACGUCGAACCUUAAGUGUGCAGACCCUGCGGGUUCGAGAACUAUGUAGACAUGACCCGAGUGACUCCUCGGUCAAUAUCCAAUAGCGGGACCUGGAUGCCCAUAUUGGAUCCUACAUAUUCUACGAAGAUCUUAUCGUUUGAACUUCAGUGCCAAGGAUUCAUAUAAUCCCGUAUGUCAUUCCCUUUGUCCUUCGGUAUGUUACUUGCCCGAGAUUCGAUCGUCAGUAUCCGCAUACCUAUUUCAAUCUCGUUUANCCGGCAAGUCUCUUUACUCAUUCCGUAAUACAAGAUCCCGCAACUUACACUAAGUCACAUUGCUUGCAAGGCUUGUGUGUGAUGUUGUAUUACCGAGUGGGCCCCGAGAUGCCUCUCCGUCACACGGAGUGACAAAUUCCAGUCUCGAUCCAUACUAACUCAACGAACACCUUCGAAGAUACCUGUAGAGCAUCUUUAUAGUCACCCAGUUACGUUGCGACGUUUGAUACACACAAAGCAUUCCUCNNNNNNNNNNNNNNNNNNNNNNNNNNNNNNNNNNNNNNNNNNNNNNNNNNNNNNNNNNNNNNNNNNNNNNNNNNNNNNNNNNNNNNNNNNNNNNNNNNNNACGGUGCCCUAUUUAAAGUGAAUGCUGCAGUUUCUAAUGCGUAUCCCCAAAAUGAUAGCGGUAAGUCGGUAAGAGACAUCAUAGAUCGUACCAUAUCUAAUAAAGUGCGAUUAUGACAUUCACACACCCCAUUACGUUGCGGUGUGCCAAGCGGCGUCAGUUGUGAAACGAUUCCACACUUCCUUAGGUGUGUGCCAAACUCGUGACUCAAAUAUUCUCCUCCACAAUCAGAUCGUAGACAUUUAAUUUUUUCUGUCACGUUGAUUCUCAACCUCACUCUGAAAUUCCUUGAACUUUUCAAACGUCUCAGAUUUGUGCUUCAUCAAGUAGAUAUACCCAUACCUACUCAAAUCAUCGGUGAGAGUGAGAACAUAACGAUAACCACCGCGAGCUUCAACGUUCAUUGGACCACACACAUCAGUAUGUAUUAUUUCCAAUAAGUCGGUUGCUCUCUCCAUUAUUCCUGAGAAUGGAGUCUUAGUCAUCUUGCCCAUGAGGCACAGUUCGCAUGUGUAAAAUGAUUCAAAGUCAAGAGACUCUAAUAGUCCAUCAAUAUGGAGCUUCUUCAUGCGCUUAACGCCGAUAUGACCAAGGCGGCAGUGCCACAAGUAUGUGGGACUGUCAUUAUCAACUUUACAUCUUUUGGUACUCACACUAUGAAUAUGUGUAACAUCACGAUCGAGAUUCAUCAAGAAUAAACCAUUCANNNNNNNNNNNNNNNNNNNNNNNNNNNNNNNNNNNNNNNNNNNNNNNNNNNNNNNNNNNNNNNNNNNNNNNNNNNNNNNNNNNNNNNNNNNNNNNNNNNNAGGUUGACUCGACGAGCUUAGCAUGUACAGACAUGACCUCGAAUACAAGAGACCGAAAGGUCGAACAUGAGUCGUAUGGUUGAAUACGAUCAGCAUGAAGUUGCUCACCAUGGUGACUAGUCCGUCUCACGUGAUGAUCGGACACGGGUUAGUCAACAUGGAUCAUGUAUCACUUAGAUGACUAGAGGGAUGUCGAUUUAAGUGGGAGUUCAUACUUAAUUUGAUUAAAUGAAAUUAAUUGUCAUGAACUUAGUCUAAAAGUUGUCUUUAUAAAUAUUGUAGAUGUCCAACGUCAACCUCAAUUUCAACGCAUUCCUAGAGAAAAACAAGCUGAAAGAUGAUGGUAGCAACUAUGCGGACUGGGUUUGCAACUUGAAGCUCAUCCUCGAAGCAGCUAAAAAGGCUUAUGUCCUUAAUGCGCCGCUAGGUGACCCUCCCGCUCCCGCAGCAGCCCAGGACAUUCUGAACGUCUGGCAAACGCGGAGUGAUGACUACUCUCUGGUCAGGUGUGGCAUGUUAUACAGUUUAGAAACGGGGCUCCAAAGGCGUUUUGAGCAACAUGGGGCAUAUGAGAUGUUCCAGGAGCUACAGCUAGUUUUUCAAGCUCAUGCCCGUGUCGAGAGAUAUGAAGUCUCCGACAAGUUCUUCAGCUGUAAGAUGGAGGAGAACAGUUCUGUCAGUGAGCACAUACUCAAAAUGUCUGGGUUACACGGUCGUCUGACUUCACUUGGAGUCGAACUUCCGGAUGAUGCUAUUAUUGACAGAAUCCUCCAGUCUCUCCCACCAAGCUACAAAGGCUUUGUGCUUAACUACAAUAUGCAAGGGAUGGAGAAGACCAUUCCCGAGUUGUACUCGCUGCUCAACUCUGCAGAAGUAGAAAUCAAGAAAGAGCAUCAAGUCUUGAUGGUCAACAAGACCACUAGUUUCAAGAAAGGCAAGGGUAAGAAGAACUUCAAGAAAGACGGCCAAGCUGUUGCCGCGCCCGGUAAGCCAGAUGCCGGGAAGAAGAAAAAGAACGGACCCAAGCCUGAGACUGAGUGCUUCUAUUGCAAGGGAAAGGGUCACUNNNNNNNNNNNNNNNNNNNNNNNNNNNNNNNNNNNNNNNNNNNNNNNNNNNNNNNNNNNNNNNNNNNNNNNNNNNNNNNNNNNNNNNNNNNNNNNNNNNNUCUCUCCUACUCUAGUCGGAUUGGAUUUGAUGAAAAGGGUCCUUAUGAAGGGUAAAUAGCUUUGGCAUAUAAUCGUUGUGGCUGUCACGUAGGUAAGAAGGCGUUCUUGCUAGAAACCCAAAUCAGCCACGUAAAACUUGCAACAACAAUUAGAGGACGUCUAACUUGUUUUUGCAGGGUUUGACAUGUGAUGUGAUAUGGCCAAAGUUGUGAUGUUGCAUGUAUAAUGUAUGAGAUGAUCAUGUUAUUGUAAUAGGUUUCACGACUUGCAUGUCGAUGAGUAUGACAACCGGCAGGAGCCAUAGGAGUUGUCUUAAUUUAUUGUAUGAGAUGCAACGCCAUGUGCUUACUACUUUUACUUCAUUGCUAACAGUUAGCUAUAGUAGUAGUGAUAGUAGUAGUUGGCGUGACGACAUCACAGAGACACGAUGAUGGAGAUCAUGAUGAUGGAGAUCAUGGUGUCACGCUGGUGACGAUGAUGAUCAUGCGAUGCCUGAAGAUGGAGAUCGAAAGAGCAAAGAUGAUAAUGGCCAUAUCAUGUCACUAUAUGAUUGCAUUGUGAUGUUUAUCAUGUUUUACAUCUUAUUGCUUAAAACGACGGUAGCAUAAUAAGAUGAUCCCUCUUAAAAUUUCAAGAACGUAUUCCCCUAAGUGUGCACCGUUGCGAAGGUUCAUUGUCUCGAAGCACCACGUGAUGAUCGGGUGUGAUAGAUUCUAACAUUCGCAUACAACCGGUGUAAGCCAGAUUUACACACGCGAAACACCUAGGUUGACUCGACGAGCUUAGCAUGUACAGACAUGACCUCGAAUACAAGAGACCGAAAGGUCGAACAUGACUCGUAUGGUUGAAUACGAUCAGCAUGCAGUUGCUCACCAUGGUGACUAGUCCGUCUCACGUGAUGAUCGGACACGGGUUAGUCAACAUGGAUCAUGUAUCACUUAGAUGACUAGAGGGAUGUCGAUUUAAGUGGGAGUUCAUACUUAAUUUGAUUAAAUGAAAUUAAUUGUCAUGAACUUAGUCUAAAAGUUGUCUUUAUAAAUAUUGUAGAUGUCCAACGUCAACCUCAAUUUCAACGCAUUCCUAGAGAAAAACAAGCUGAAAGAUGAUGGUAGCAACUAUGCGGACUGGGUUNNNNNNNNNNNNNNNNNNNNNNNNNNNNNNNNNNNNNNNNNNNNNNNNNNNNNNNNNNNNNNNNNNNNNNNNNNNNNNNNNNNNNNNNNNNNNNNNNNNNAAUACCCAGGAGCUACUACGAGCGCUGGUAAGGUACACAUCAAUAACAUGUAUAUCACAUAUACCUUUAACGUUGCCGGCCUUCUUGUCCGCUAAGUAUUUGGGGCAGUUCCGCUUCCAGUGACCCUUUCCCUUGCAAUAGAAGCACUCAGUCUCAGGCUUGGGUCCGUUCUUUUUCUUCUUCCCGGCAUCUGGCUUACCGGGCGCGGCAACAGCUUGGCCGUCUUUCUUGAAGUUCUUCUUACCCUUGCCUUUCUUGAAACUAGUGGUCUUGUUGACCAUCAAAACUUGAUGCUCUUUCUUGAUUUCUACUUCUGCAGAAUUGAGCACCGAGUACAACUCGGGAAUGGUCUUCUCCAUCCCUUGCAUGUUGUAGUUAAGCACAAAGCCUUUGUAGCUUGGUGGGAGAGACUGGAGGAUUCUGUCAAUUAUAGCAUCAUCCGGAAGUUCGACUCCAAGUGAAGUCAGACGACCGUGUAACCCAGACAUUUUGAGUAUGUGCUCACUGACAGAACUGUUCUCUUCCAUCUUACAGCUAAAGAACUUGUCGGAGACUUCAUAUCUCUCGGCACGGGCAUGAGCUUGAAAAACUAGCUUCAUCUCCUGGAACAUCUCAUAUGCCUCAUGUUGCUCAAAACGCCUUUGGAGCCCCGUUUCUAAACUGUAUAACAUGCUACACCUAACCAGAGAGUAGUCAUCACUCCGCGUUUUCCAGACGUUCAGAAUGUCCUGGGCUGCUGCGGGAGCGGGAGGGUCACCUAGCGGCGCAUCAAGGACAUAAGCCUUUUUAGCUGCUUCAAGGACGAGCUUCAAGUUGCGAACCCAGUCCGCAUAGUUGCUACCAUCAUCUUUCAGCUUGUUUUUCUCUAGGAAUGCGUUGAAAUUGAGGUUGACGUUGGACAUCUACAAUAUUUAUAAAGACAACUUUUAGACUAAGUUCAUGACAAUUAAGUUCAUUUAAUCAAAUUAAAUAUGAACUCCCACUUAAAUCGACAUCCCUCUAGUCAUCUAAGUGAUACAUGAUCCAUGUUGACUAACCCGUGUCCGAUCAUCACGUGAGACGGACUAGUCACCAUGGUGAGCAACUCCAUGCUGAUCGUAUUCAACCAUACGAAUCAUGUUCGACCUUUCGGUCUCUUGUAUUCGAGGUCAUGUCUGUACAUGCUAAGCUCGUCGAGUCAACCUNNNNNNNNNNNNNNNNNNNNNNNNNNNNNNNNNNNNNNNNNNNNNNNNNNNNNNNNNNNNNNNNNNNNNNNNNNNNNNNNNNNNNNNNNNNNNNNNNNNNGCGGAGACUGGCCAAGGACGAGGUGACGAUGCGCGUCGGGAAUGGUUCAAAGGUCGAUGUGAUCGCCGUCAGCACGCUGCCUCUACAUCUACCGUCGGGAUUAGUUUUAAACCUUAAUAAUUGUUAUUUAGUACCAGCUUUAAGCAUGAACAUUGUAUCAGGGUCUUGCUUAAUGCGAGACGGCUACUCAUUUAAGUCAGAGAAUAAUGGUUGUUCUAUUUAUAUGAGUGAUAUGUUUUAUGGUCAUGCUCCGCUGGUGAAUGGUUUAUUCUUGAUGAAUCUCGAUCGUGAUGUUACACAUAUUCAUAGUGUGAGUACCAAAAGAUGCAAAGUUGAUAAUGAUACUCCCACAUACUUGUGGCACUGCCGCCUUGGUCAUAUCGGCGUUAAGCGCAUGAAGAAGCUCCAUACUGAUGGACUAUUAGAGUCUCUUGACUUUGAAUCAUUUGACACAUGCGAACCGUGCCUCAUGGGCAAGAUGACUAAGACUCCAUUCUCAGGAAUAAUGGAGAGAGCAACCGACUUAUUGGAAAUAAUACAUAUUGAUGUGUGUGGUCCAAUGAACGUUGAAGCUCGCGGUGGUUAUCGUUAUGUUCUCACUCUCACCGAUGAUUUGAGUAGGUAUGGGUAUAUCUACUUGAUGAAGCACAAAUCUGAGACGUUUGAAAAGUUCAAGGAAUUUCAGAGUGAGGUUGAGAAUCAACGUGACAGAAAAAUUAAAUGUCUACGAUCUGAUCGUGGAGGAGAAUAUUUGAGUCACGAGUUUGGCACACACCUAAGGAAGUGUGGAAUCGUUUCACAACUGACGCCGCCUGGCACACCGCAGCGCAACGGAGUGUCUGAACGUCGUAAUCGCACUUUAUUAGAUAUGGUACGAUCUAUGAUGUCUCUCACCGACUUACCGCUAUCAUUUUGGGGAUACGCAUUAGAAACUGCAGCAUUCACUUUAAAUAGGGCACCGUCUAAAUCCGUUGAGACGACACCGUAUGAACUAUGGUUUGGCAAGAAACCUAAGUUGUCGUUUCUUAAAGUUUGGGGCUGCGAUGCUUAUGUGAAGAAACUUCAACUAGAAAAGCUCCAACCCAAAGAGGAGAAAUGCGUAUUCAUAGGAUACCCUAAGGAAACUAUUGGGUAUACCUUCUAUCUUAGAUCCGAAGGUAAAACCUUUGUUGCCAAGAACGGAUCCUUUCUAGAGAAAGAGUUUCUCUCGAAAGAAGUAAGUGGGAGGAAGGUAAAACUUGAUGAGGUAAUUGCACCCCCUCUCGAACAGGAAAGUAGCGCAGCGCGGGAAGUUGUUCCUGUGGCGCCUAUACCGAAUGAAGAGGAAGUUAAUGAUGAUGAUCAUGAAGCUUCGGAUCAAGUUACUACUGAACCGCGAAGGUCCACAAGGGCACGCUCCGCACCAGAGUGGUACGGCAACCCUGUGAUGGAAAUCAUGUUGUUAGACAAUGGUGAGCCUUCGAACUAUGAAGAAGCAAUGGCGGGCCCGGAUUCCAACAAAUGGCUUGAGGCUAUGAAAUCCGAGAUAGGAUCCAUGUAUGAGAACAAAGUAUGGACUUUGGUGGACUUGCCCGAUGACCGGCGAGCCAUAGAAAAUAAAUGGAUCUUCAAGAAGAAGACUGAUGCAAACGGUAAUGUAACCGUUUACAAAGCUCGACUUGUCGCAAAGGGUUUUCGACAAAUUCAAGGAGUUGACUACGAAGAGGCUUUCUCUCCCGUAGCGAAGCUGAAAUCAGUUCGAAUCAUGUUAGCAAUUGCCGCCUUUUAUGAUUAUGAAAUUUGGGAAAUGGACGUCAAAACAGCGUUCCUUAACGGGAACCUUAAGGAAGAGUUGUAUAUGAUGCAACCAGAAGGUUUUGUCGACCCUAAGGGUGCUAACAAAGUGUGCAAGCUCCAGCGCUCCAUCUAUGGGCUGGUGCAAGCAUCUCGGAGUUGGAACAUUCGCUUUAAUGAGGUAAUUAAAGCGUUUGGGUUCAUACAGGUUUACGGAGAAACCUGUCUGUACAAGAAAGUGAGUGGGAGCUCUGUAGCUUUCCUCAUACUAUAUGUGGAUGACAUAUUAUUGAUGGGGAAUAAUAUAGAGAUGUUGGAGAGCAUAAAGGCCUAUUUGAACAAGAGUUUUUCAAUGAAGGACCUUGGAGAAGCUGCAUACAUAUUAGGCAUCAAGAUCUAUAGAGAUAGAUCGAGACGCCUCAUAGGUCUUUCGUAAAGUACAUACCUUGACAAGAUAUUGAAGAAGUUCAAUAUGGAAAACUCAAAGAAAGGGUCAUUGCCAGUUUUGCAAGGUAUGAGAUUGAGUAAGACUCAGUCGCCGACCACGGCAGUAGAUAGAGAGAAGAUGAGUUAUGUCCCCUACGCUUCAGCCGUGGGCUCUCUAAUGUAUGCCAUGUUGUGUACCAGACCUGAUAUAAACCUUGCCAUAAGUUUGGUAGGGAGGUACCAAAGUAAUCCCGGUACGGAACACUCGACAGCGGUCAAGAAUAUCCUUAAGUACCUGAAAAGGACUAAGGAAAUAUUUCUCGUUUAUGGAGGUGACGAAGAGCUCGUCGUAAAGGGUUACGUCGACGCUAGCUUCGACAUAGAUCCGGAUGACUCUAAGUCACAGACCGGAUACGUAUAUGUGUUGAAUGGUGGGGCAGUGAGCUGGUGCAACAGCAAGCAAGAAGUCGUGGCAGCAUCUACAUGUGAAGCGGAGUACAUAGCUGCUUCAGAAGCGGCUCAUGAAGGAAUUUGGAUGAAGGAGCUCAUCACUGACCUUGGAGUGGUUCCAAGCGCGUCGGGUCCCAUGACACUCUUCUGUGAUAACACUGGAGCCAUUGCCAUAGCCAAGGAGCCCAGGUUUCACUGAAAGACGAAGCACAUCAAGCGCCGCUACAACUCCAUCCAGGACCAUGUCCAGAGUGGAGUGAUAGAUAUUUGUAAAGUACACACGGAUCUGAAUAUUGCAGACCCGUUGACUAAACCUCUUCCACGAGCAAAACAUGAUCAACACCAUAAUGCUAUGGGUGUUCGAUACAUCACAAUGUAACUAGAUUAUUGACUCUAGUGCAAGUGGGAGACUGUUGGAAAUAUGCCCUAGAGGCAAUAAUAAAAUGGUUAUUAUCAUAUUUCCUCGUUCAUGAUAAUCGUCUAUUGUUCAUGCUAUAAUUGUAUUAACAGGAAACAGUAAUACAUGUGUGAAUAAAUAGAUCACAAUGUGUCCCUAGGAAGCCUCUAGUUGGCUAGCUCGUUAGUCAAUAGAUGAUCAUGGUUUCCUGAUCAUGGGCAUUAGAUGUCAUUGAUAACGGGAUCACAUCAGUGGGAGAAUGAUGUGAUGGACAAGACCCAAUCCUAAGCCUAGCACUAGAUCGUAUUGUUCGUAUGCUAAUGCUUUUCUAAUGUCAAGUAUCUUUUCCUUCGACCGUGAGAUUGUGCAACUCCCAGAUGCCGUAGGAGUGCUUUGGGUGUAUCAAACGUCACAACGUAACUGGGUGACUAUAAAGGUGCACUACGGGUAGGGGGGGGGGGGGGGGUUGGGUUGGUACGAAUCGAGAUCGGGAUUUGUCACUCCGUGUGACGGAGAGGUAUCUCUGGGCCCACUCGGUAGAACAUCAUCAUGAGCUCAAUGUGACUAAGGAGUUAGUCACACGAUGAUGUGCUACGGAACGAGUAAAGAGACUUACCGGUAACGAGAUUGAACAAGGUAUAGGUAUACCGACGAUCGAAUCUCGGGCAAGUUCUAUACCGACAGACANNNNNNNNNNNNNNNNNNNNNNNNNNNNNNNNNNNNNNNNNNNNNNNNNNNNNNNNNNNNNNNNNNNNNNNNNNNNNNNNNNNNNNNNNNNNNNNNNNNNGGGGGGGGGGGAGGGUGUUAGAUUUGUAUUGCCCCUUUUUUGUAUAUCCCCAUUAUAUAAGGGGUUUCUACCACUUUUACCAUAUGUAUAUAUAUUGGCCUUUGGCCCCUGUGAAUAUUUGCUCAUUAUCUAACAGAUCCAACACAAGGUUGGGUCGAAGCUAGUUUAUAUCUGGGACGUUACACCAACCUCUCAAGCCAAUCCAACAUUGCAGACAGAUUUAUGAUACACUUCCUUUUCACGAGCCCGAGGCAAUGUACCUAUGUCAAAAAAAGUAGGAGUUCGAGGCAAUGUACCUAAUACAAACUGUGAAGCCUUCCCACCUAGGCUAUACAUGAGGUCCUUGAGAUGCUCUAUAAGAUAUCGGUUAAAAGAGAAAACGUCCAAAAUAAGAGAAAUAUAACUAUAUUUUUUUUGUAUUUGUCGCUUCAAAGGAUCAGUAUGUUGGACAAGAAGAGAAGCACUGAAGUAGCAUCACUCAUCAUCAAGGUCAAAAUCGUUGUCCGAUGCGCACUCGAGAUAUGAACCAAUCGACUUGCGGAAGAUGAUGAAAGACUUGUCAUCCUGUGAAAAAAGAAUGCAUUAUUUUGCAGGAAGAGGUGUUUCAAGCCAUGGAACAAAAAAAACUGGCUGGUCAUUCAGCUUUAGGCCUGACGGGUAGCUAAAAAUGAAGUCUAAGAAAUGCAAGCAGUUGUGAAUUUUGCCACACCUGCUUCAUCCUUUUCAGUGAUGGUUUGGCAUUUGUUAUCUUAUCUGAUAAGGUGUCACCAUGUUCUGACAAUGUAGCCGUCUCCUCCCCUGUUUGAAGGAUUUGAGUGUAAGAGCAGCAUAUUUCCAUCCAAGGGAAAUAAUGAAUCCUCUAGCUACUUACUUUGAUAUUCAUACUGCUCAAGCAGUUUCUUUUUCUCAACUUCAAUUUGUGAGGAUAGAUCUGCAUAAUAGGACAUGUAACAAGUCAAAUAAGAGCCAAAUAUUUUUGCAGAUUCAAUGAGAUCUGAACGUCUUUUAUGGGAACAUCAUCCAAAUAAUGCUGAGUCGCUAAUAAGCAGUAGCCAAGCAAUGCAUAUUUAGAAACAACACACAUAAUUUGAAUACAAGUGUCAUGUAGAUUCUAUUUGCAUCAAAACCAGGUAUCUCAAUAUUUUUUCUAAAGAUAAGAAUCACAGCUCAUACGUAGUAGCCGAUUACACCAAAUGAGAAACAACCAUCACACGUCACAAUGCCCUAAAAUCCUAGAUAGACCUGGAUAGAAGCACAUGAUAUACUUGUGAAAAUGACAACCAGCUCUUAUUUGACAUACCUUUGAAGGUUUGUAAGUGUGCAUCAUUUUCUUCGCAGAACAUUUCAUAUGUUUCCUGAAGCUUGGUGUACUCUUCGUUCAAUGAACUUUCACACUGCUAAUAGUGCAAAUUACACGCCAUAAUUCAAUCUUAGGCAAAUCAGCAAGUAAGUCGACAAUUCCAAAGAAUUGUAAACUGUGUACCUCUUUCGAAGUGCUUGACAGUACUUUCAGCAAAUUCUGCCUGCACAUGCAAAUAUAACAGUGACACUACGUUCUAAAUAAAAACGAACAAGCUUCCUUUUCUGACAGAACUGGUUUCAGGCGUAAUUGUUCAUGCAGGCAUCGUUUCACAGUUCACAAGCAAGUGAGUUACCUUUCCUUCUCAAACUUGGACUUGGUAUCUUCAAGCAUAGUCUGAAUAUUGGCUGCAACACUGUCAGGUUUAGAAAAGUAAAGGAAUAAACAGGGUAAGAAGAAGGUAAAAGAAUAAUGAUCAGCAACAUUAUGCGCUUCAAACUUCACAGUUCAGUCAGCGGAGUCCCUGUUAGUCCACAUGUUAUAAUUUUCGGCUUCUUUUCCUCCCCGAUGCCUGUGUAAAUAAUUCUUUGUAAUAGUUCUGAGAAGUUUAUAGAAAUGUUCAGGCUGGCUUUGCCGGCCGUAGUUCUGAAAAUCAACUCACCCGAACAAAGCCACACCAUGACAUAAGUACAAAACAUGAAUCCGGGAACCCAUCAAAUUAAUAUGUCCAUUUUCCUCGCAUCACUCACAAUGCAUAUCGCUCCGCAUAAUAUACAAAAACUGACAUAUCACCGAACGAACCUAGUUCCUGCAUUAAUCACAGAAACAGCCGAGUGGACGCAUUGCAGGAUUGCAAACGUGCAACAUUUAUUUGUAUCCCUCCCAGUGACCAUGAACUGUAAGUUUUCCACACAAAUCCGCCAGCACGAAAUGCAUCAUAAGAAGCUGCUAGGAUAGCAUACGCCGAUCCCAAUUUUUUUGCACGCUAGCACAUAGCGAGAUAAGAGAAAAUUUAGAGGUGCAAGUGCAACCGAAAGAACACUGUUCUCCGCACCUGGCGAUGAUCUGCUCGCACAUCUUCUGGCCAGCCUUGUUGGUCCCGCCCUUGAUCAACCGCAGCAGGCACGCGAUCUGCCUCAAGUCGCUGCGCCCGCCACAAAAGUAGCCAUCACGGAGUUAAAGCGAGAAGGAAUUAGAAACGGGAGACACCGAAUCGAAGAGGAAAAGCUCGAAAUCAGAUGUGCGGCACCUGACGAAAUCGCCGUCAGAUUCCGAGCCGGAGCUGGAGCCGGAAUCGGAACCGGAGCCGAAAUCCACGGGGUGGCGCGGCCUCUUCGACGACCGCAGAGCCUCUUCACCCAGGGACAUCCUCCUUCCGCCGCCGGGACUCGCCGCGGGCCGCAUCGCUGGUCGACGAGCGUAGUGCAGCGCAAUUCGAAAUUUGGAGGGGGAGCGAGAGGGUAGUGAUGUAAUACUGGCAAAAUUUUGGUGGCCCACUCACAGUAUUGGCUUUUGUAAGGGAAAGUGUUCGUGCGCGCAAGGCUACGAGCAACUAGUUCCUCCUCUUGUAAUUUUUUUUUCCUUCGACGCGUCCGUUGAAGUGUUCGGCCGGUCGCGUUCCUUCCUCACGUUUUUCUUCCACCUUUUCCUUUUCCCCUCCCGCGCACACUCGGAUUUUUUCACUGUUUUAACCUUUUUUCUAAANNNNNNCACAAAAUGAACCAGAUUUGAAACCAUUUCACGAUCUGACCCUUUUAAAAACGCCACAAGCCGUGGCGUUGCUNNNNNNNNNNNNNNNNNNNNNNNNNNNNNNNNNNNNNNNNNNNNNNNNNNNNNNNNNNNNNNNNNNNNNNNNNNNNNNNNNNNNNNNNNNNNNNNNNNNNUGGACAAGAAUACAUGGAGUUACUCAAGCCAUUGAAUCAUUUGACUUUGUUUUCAAUCUUCACUUGAUGCUUGUUAUUCUUGGCUAUACAAAUGAGUUGUCCAAAUCUUUGCAAAAGAGAGAUCAAGAUACUAUUAAUGCAGUGGCACUUGUUAGUUUGGCAAAGAGUAGAAUGCGACACAUGAGGUGUCAUGGUUAGGAAGAAUUUCUUGCAAAGCUAACCCUAUUUUGCCAGAAACAUGACAUUCAAGUUCCUUUGUGGGAGGAUACUUAUGCAGGGGCAGAAUUAGCAUGGGUUCACGUCUAGGGCCAAAUUAGCUUCAGUGGUGUAUUUUAGAGAUUUUUUGUACUUAGUAAGUAGGUAUUACAAAGACUAUUGUCACUACACCUAGGGCUAUAGCCCCAUUUUCCCUAGGCCUGAUUCCAACAUUGUACUUAUGAGCAUCAUGGAAUAUCACGUUGGUAUAAUGAAGUUCAAACAAAUGAUGAUCGUUAUAAAAGAGAAGUAUAUCUUGGUGUCAUUGAUCAAACCAUUCUAUCCCAUGGACAUAUCAAGCACGGAUUUGAUAAGGCUAGAAUUUCAACUUGCUACUUUUAUUGAUGAUACGAGACAAGAUGAUAUUGGUGAGCUCUCUAUUUUACUUGUUGCAACAAAGAAUCAUAUUCUCUAUGAUUUGGUCUACUUACUCAUCAAAUUGAUAUUGAUUUUACCGAUGGCAACAACGAGUGUUGAAAGGGUAUUUUCUGCAAUGAAUCUAGUGAAAAAUAAAUUAAGGACUAGUAUGGGUGAUGAUCGUUUGGUGACAAUUAUUAAGCGAGAUGUGUUCAUGAAAGUAAAUGAAGAUGACAUAGUUGAUGCUUUCAUGACAAUGCAACGACGUAGAGUUACCUAGUGUUGUAAUUUUCUACUUCUGUUACUUUCAUGUAAGUCUUUUCUAUUGUAACUGGGCACAUUUGAAAUACAUUUUAUGUACUAAAUGGUUGUGAGAUUUCAAUUGAGCUAUUUAUGUUACUCAUUUGACAUAUUUUGAUACAUUUGGAUUAGGUAGGAAAAAAAUAGAGUGCGCAUGCCCUUUAUUUUAUUCCUGGGUACCCACACAAUGGAACGCAAAAAUAUCCAGCCGAGCGAGCAGUAAAUCCACCAUACGGGAUGUGCAUACUUAAUACUCCUACAUUGCAACAAAUAAUCGUGAAAAAAAAUGGAAAAAGAAACCAUAUGCGAUCAGGCACAUGACGAAGGAAGGGUCACAUGAAUGAAGAAGAGAGAAAAGCCACAUAUCGACCCGAAUAGCGAAGUGUGGGAGCCGCGAUGGCGGGCACUGGCAGCCAUACAUUGGGCUAUCCAAAAUCUCAUCUCUCGCCCAAUCCCGGCCUCACGAUCUCAAUUCUCACCCCGCGUGCACCACAAGCUCCAAUCCCCUAACUCGUAUAUACAGCCACGCCCGCCUCACCGUCCUUGAUCUUCCCCCCUAUCUGAUCGGAUCCUUUGGACAUGGCGUCGCCCAUGCUCUCCACGGCCAUGGCGCCACUCCAGGUAUUGCUCGUGUUCCAUUUCCAUUCCAUGCUUGCGUAGUAGUACAGUUCUUCCAUGUUUGUGACGCGCGGUGGUUAUGUAACUGGACUGCCAUGCAUCCUCUGUCGAUCCAGGGGGGCAUGCUGGAGUUCUCCGGGCUGAGGAGCUCGUCGUCGCUGCCGCUCCGGCGGAAUGCCACCUCCGACGACUUCAUGUCCGCCGUCUCCUUCAGGACAUACGCGGUAUGAUAUGAAUAUGAUGGGCGGAAUGUGGCUGUCACCUAGGAGUACGUAGCUCGCUUGGUCGCAUGCCAUGAGACAUGAGCGGCGCGUGGUACGGUGGUUGCAGGUGAGCACGAGCGGCGGGUCGCGGAAGGCGCCGACGGAGGCGAAGCUCAAGGUGGCGAUCAACGGGUUCGGGCGCAUCGGGCGCAACUUCCUGCGGUGCUGGCACGGGCGCGGCGACAGCUCGCCGCUGGAGGUGAUCGCCAUCAACGACACCGGAGGCGUGAAGCAGGCGUCCCACCUCCUCAAGUACGACUCCACGCUGGGCAUCUUCGACGCGGACGUCAAGCCCGUGGGCGACAACGCCAUCUCCGUCGACGGCAAGGUGAUCAAGGUCGUGUCCGACCGCAACCCCUCCAACCUGCCGUGGGGCGAGAUGGGCAUCGACCUCGUCAUCGAGGGCACCGGCGUCUUCGUCGACCGCGCCGGCGCGGGCAAGCAUCUCGAGGCCGGAGCCAAGAAGGUGCUCAUCACCGCGCCCGGCAAGGGCGACAUCCCCACCUACGUCUGCGGCGUCAACGCCGACCUCUACACCCACGCCGACACCAUCAUCAGCAACGCCUCAUGCACCACCAACUGCCUCGCCCCCUUCGUCAAGGUCCUCGACCAAAAGUUCGGUACGUGCCCGUCUCCCUCCCUCUCUCUCUCUCUCAACUGAAUCAACUUGUUGACGAUGACUAAUGGCGGCGGUGGCAAUGGCGCAGGCAUCAUCAAGGGAACCAUGACCACAACCCACUCGUACACCGGCGACCAGAGGCUGCUCGACGCGAGCCACCGCGACCUGCGCCGUGCCCGCGCCGCCGCCCUCAACAUAGUGCCGACCUCCACCGGCGCGGCCAAGGCCGUGGCGCUGGUGCUCCCCAACCUCAAGGGCAAGCUCAACGGGAUCGCGCUCCGGGUGCCCACCCCCAACGUGUCCGUCGUCGACCUCGUGGUGCAGGUCUCCAAGAAGACCCUCGCCGAGGAGGUGAACCAGGCGUUCCGCGACGCCGCCGCCAACGAGCUCAAGGGCAUCCUCGACGUCUGCGACGAGCCCCUCGUGUCCGUCGACUUCAGGUGCUCCGACGUCUCCUCCACCAUCGACGCGUCGCUCAGCAUGGUCAUGGGAGACGACAUGGUCAAGGUCAUUGCAUGGUACGACAACGAGUGGGGUUACUCCCAGAGGGUCGUCGACCUCGCCGACAUCGUCGCCAACCAAUGGAAGUGAACGCCCCCCCACAGCGGCAUUGCCCUGUCAAGUGACUCCUCUCGAAAUUUUCCCCAGCCGUCGUCACGGAUGAUCGAUUCUUUGUAAUGAGAAUUCAAAGUAUCGAGCUCCCAACAC